Molecule: non-coding RNA, 523 nt
Organism: Equus caballus (horse)
Lineage: Eukaryota; Metazoa; Chordata; Mammalia; Perissodactyla; Equidae
Source: RefSeq, a predicted model, not a curated record
CCUUCUGCAGGGCCCACGACCCGCAGUGCGUCACACGGAAUAUUCCCAGAAGCUGAGGCUCUCCUUCCCUGUUUGUAAAGCACGGAUCGCAGGCUAGUGAUUCAAGAUAUAGGAAUGAAAAGCCUUUUUACAGUUGGGCAUUUGGAUAGAACUAUAGAACUUUUUAUCAAAUGUAGAAUUUAUUUAUAAUUUAAUUAAUUUUUCCAUACAGAAUAAUAGAAAAAAAUUGAUCUGAAUCAAUAUCUGUAUGGUUUUUCGGUCUACAGAAAACUUGAAAAAGAGAUAUUAACUUCUACCUGGCAGUAAUCCUGCAAGGGAGAGGUGAUUUCCAAUUCUGUCCAUGAAGGGUGAAGGCAGAGGAAACAGCGGUGAUAAAAAUUAAGCCACGAGCGAAAGUUCAACUAAGUUAUAUUAAACAGCGUUGGUAAAUUUCGUGCCAGCCACAGCCGUCAUACGAUUAACCCAAAUUAAUAAAACAUUUCCUCCAUCGCAUAACUAUUGUCAUGGCAAGAUGUGAACUUGA